This 497-nucleotide ribosomal RNA is filed under the name uncultured bacterium. RNAcentral's name for it is "partial 16S ribosomal RNA". It matches the Rfam family "Bacterial small subunit ribosomal RNA", at positions 28 to 507 of the family's 1533-position model. The record is from RNAcentral.
GAUGAACGCUGGCGGCGUGCCUAAUACAUGCAAGUCGAGCGAACAGACGAGGAGCUUGCUCCUCUGACGUUAGCGGCGGACGGGUGAGUAACACGUGGAUAACCUACCUAUAAGACUGGGAUAACUUCGGGAAACCGGAGCUAAUACCGGAUAAUAUAUUGAACCGCAUGGUUCAAUAGUGAAAGACGGUUUUGCUGUCUCUUAUAGAUGGAUCCGCGCCGCAUUAGCUAGUUGGUAAGGUAACGGCUUACCAAGGCGACGAUGCGUAGCCGACCUGAGAGGGUGAUCGGCCACACUGGAACUGAGACACGGUCCAGACUCCUACGGGAGGCAGCAGUAGGGAAUCUUCCGCAAUGGGCGAAAGCCUGACGGAGCAACGCCGCGUGAGUGAUGAAGGCCUUCGGAUCGUAAAACCCUGUUAUUAGGGAAGAACAAAUGUGGAAGUAACUAUGCCCGUCUUGACGGUACCUAAUCAGAAAGCCACGGCUAACUACGUG